RNAcentral lists this ribosomal RNA (530 nucleotides) under uncultured bacterium. RNAcentral's name for it is "bacterial SSU rRNA". It matches the Rfam family "Bacterial small subunit ribosomal RNA", at positions 8 to 525 of the family's 1533-position model. The record is from RNAcentral.
AGAGUUUGAUCCUGGCUCAGGAUGAACGCUAGCGGCAGGCCUAACACAUGCAAGUCGAACGGCAGCACAGGAGAGCUUGCUCUCUGGGUGGCGAGUGGCGGACGGGUGAGGAAUACAUCGGAAUCUACCUUUUCGUGGGGGAUAACGUAGGGAAACUUACGCUAAUACCGCAUAUGCCCUAAGGGGGAAAGCGGGGGAUUCGCAAGAACCUCGCGUUUUCGGAGCGGCCGAUAUCGGAUUAGCUAGUAGGUGAGGUAAAGGCUCACCUAGGCGACGAUCCGUAGCUGGUCUGAGAGGACGACCAGCCACACUGGAACUGAGACACGGUCCAGACUCCUACGGGAGGCAGCAGUGGGGAAUUUUGGACAAUGGGCGCAAGCCUGAUCCAGCCAUGCCGCGUGAGUGAAGAAGGCCUUCGGGUUGUAAAGCUCUUUCAGCCGGAAAGAAAACGCGCAGGUUAAUAACCUGUGCGGAUGACGGUACCGGAAGAAGAAGCACCGGCUAACUACGUGCCAGCAGCCGCGGUAAUA